GAUGAAGAACGUAGCGAAAUGCGAUACUUGGUGUGAAUUGCAGAAUCCCGUGAACCAUCGAGUCUUUGAACGCAAGUUGCGCCCGAAGCCAUCAGGUUGAGGGCACGUCUGCCUGGGCGUCACAUAUCGUUGCCCAAUGCCUAUUGCAGUGCAAUAGGAAUUUCUAGGGCGAAUGAUGGCUUCCCGUGAGCGUUGUUGCCUCGCGGUUGGUUGAAAAUCGUGUCCUUGGUAGGGUGUGCCAUGGUAGAUGGUGGUCGAGUUAGAACGAUACCGAUCAUGUGCAUGCUCCCCAAAAUAUGGCCUCGAUGACCCACACGCGUCUUUUGACGCUCAUGACGAGACCUCAGGUCAGGCGGGGCUACCCGCUGAAUUUAAGCAUAUCAAUAAGCGGAGGA
RNAcentral lists this unclassified non-coding RNA (395 nucleotides) under soil metagenome. RNAcentral describes it as "partial contains 5.8S ribosomal RNA, internal transcribed spacer 2, and large subunit ribosomal RNA". The stretch from base 1 to 122 matches the Rfam family "5.8S ribosomal RNA", at positions 35 to 154 of the family's 154-position model. The record is from RNAcentral.